RNAcentral lists this transfer RNA (67 nucleotides) under Rhynchocyon sp. CJD-2003. RNAcentral describes it as "tRNA-Val". It matches the Rfam family "tRNA". Rfam says of the family: Transfer RNA (tRNA) molecules are approximately 80 nucleotides in length. Their secondary structure includes four short double-helical elements and three loops (D, anti-codon, and T loops). RNAcentral also lists the same sequence under 4 other names. The record is from RNAcentral. Lineage: Eukaryota; Metazoa; Chordata; Mammalia; Macroscelidea; Macroscelididae.
CAAAGUGUAGCUUAAAACAAAGCAUCUGGCCUACACCCAGAAGAUCUCAAUUUAAUGAUCACUUUGA